Molecule: ribosomal RNA, 406 nt
Filed under: uncultured bacterium
Lineage: Bacteria
Description: partial 16S ribosomal RNA
Rfam family: Bacterial small subunit ribosomal RNA
Source: RNAcentral
AUUGAACGCUGGCGGCAGGCCUAACACAUGCAAGUCGAGCGAGAGGAGGAAGGGUGAGGAAGGGAGGGGAAACUGCCUGAAGGAGGGGGAUAACUACUGGAAACGGUAGCAAAAACCGCAUACCAUCAGAUGGGGGACGGUGGGAUUAGCUAGUAGGUGGGGUAACGCCUCACCUAGGCGACGAUCACUAGCUGGUCUGAGAGGAUGACCAGCCACACUGGAACUGAGACACGGUCCAGACUCCUACGGGAGGCAGCAGUGGGGAAUAUUGCACAAUGGGCGCAAGCCUGAUGCAGCCAUUCCCCGUGUGUGAAGAAGGCCUUCGGGUUGUAAAGCACUUUCAGCCGGGAGGCGUUACCCGCAGAAUAAGCACCGUCUAACUCCGUGCCAGCAGCCGCGCUAAUAC